RNAcentral lists this non-coding RNA (29 nucleotides) under Mus musculus (house mouse). The record is from RNAcentral. Lineage: Eukaryota; Metazoa; Chordata; Mammalia; Rodentia; Muridae.
UACCUUUAAUCCCAGAUGACCUUGAACUC